Molecule: ribosomal RNA, 365 nt
Filed under: uncultured bacterium
Lineage: Bacteria
Description: partial 16S ribosomal RNA
Rfam family: Bacterial small subunit ribosomal RNA
Source: RNAcentral
CCUACGGGAGGCUGCAGUGAGGAAUAUUGGGCAAUGGACGAGAGUCUGAACAAGCAAAGUAGCGUGAAGGAGGACUGCCCUAUGGGUUGUAAACUUCGGUUAUAAGGGAAUAAAAUGUGCCACGUGUGGGAUUUUGUAUGUACCAUAUGAAUAAGGAUCGGCUAACUCCGUGCCAGCAGCCGCGGUAAUACGGAGGAGCCGAGCGUUAUCCGGAUUUAUUGGGUGUAAAGGGAGCGUAGGUGGUUUGUUAAGUCAGUUGUGAAAGUUUGCGGCUCAACCGUCAAAUUGCAGUUGCAACUGGCAGUCUUGAGUACAGUAGAGGUGGGCGGAAUUCGUGGUGUAGCGGUGACAUGCUUAGCUAUCAC